RNAcentral lists this ribosomal RNA (252 nucleotides) under uncultured bacterium. Its description in RNAcentral is "partial 16S ribosomal RNA". It matches the Rfam family "Bacterial small subunit ribosomal RNA", at positions 524 to 776 of the family's 1533-position model. The record is from RNAcentral.
UACGUAGGGGGCUAGCGUUAUCCGGAAUUACUGGGCGUAAAGGGUGCGUAGGUGGUUUCUUAAGUCAGAGGUGAAAGGCUACGGCUCAACCGUAGUAAGCCUUUGAAACUGGGGAACUUGAGUGCAGAAGAGGAGAGUGGAGUUCCUAGUGUAGCGGUGAAAUGCGUAGAUAUUAGGAGGAACACCAGUUGCGAAGGCGGCUCUCUGGACUGUAACUGACACUGAGGCACGAAAGCGUGGGGAGCAAACAGG